GAUUUUUCCCAAAUUUCCCCCCUAAAACCCCUAACUUUGCAAACAAAAUGAAAAAAAGAAGAGGAAAAUGGAGGUACCAAAGACGAUUCAGCACAGAACCUCUCCAAUCUACUUACGAGUUCUACCGUUUGUUUCCCUGGAAAAUAUAUGAGACUUAAUAUUUUUAUUUUGUUAGUUUAUUUGUGUGUGUAUUUCAUCUUGUUGUGUUCAUUACUCAGAUCCCUAUCGCUUUUAUUUCUGUUCCAUUUUUCCUCUUUAUUUUCUAAUUGUGGGUAUUAUUUACUCAGAUCCCCUUUCUUUUUAUUAUUGUUUUUUUUUUCUCUUAUAUUUUAGCUAGAAAUCGACGAUGCCAGAAGAAGCUAGAAAUCGACGAUGCAAGUUACUACUGGUCUCAUUGCUGCUGGUAACAAGUUAUUGCUUAAAAUUCAUGGUAACAAAUCUACUUCAAAGGAAGUUAUUCAUAUUCCUUCGUAUAGAAGCGAAGUUGUUUACGGUGGAACUUAGUUCUCCAGCUCUCGUAAGUUUGUUCCCAGUUUUGUAUUUGCCAUCUAUACCAGGUUUACCUCUCUUGCUUCUCUUCGUCUUCAUCUCCCUUUCAUUUAUUCUACCAAAAACGCCUCUUACUUGUCAUUUUUUUUCUCACAUAUCGUGCAAGACUCAUUUUUCUUUCUUUAUGCUCUAGUCUUAACAAUGCACUUCAACUGUUCGAUAUAAUGCUUCUUUAUACAAUUUGUUUCUGGCUUUCAGGGGGUGUUGUCUGUAAGAUGUUGAAGCAAGCGAUAUGGAAGGUGUUGAGCAAAAGGGUAGUUUCAGAUUCUGGUGAUAAACUUCUUUUGCCUUGUUUGUACUUGCCCAUGACUUCUUUUCACGCUGGACAGGGGCUGUACAUGAUUGUCUUUACAAGUCACCCUUGAAAUUAUAACAACAAUUGGUUUAUGAAUUUGGCAGAUACAUUAACAGUUGUGCAUUAAGUGGUGAGAUCCCCUCAACAUUUGCUAAACUUAAAGAACUGCGAACUAUGUAAGAAAGACUCCCUAAUGUUUAUAUAGGAGAUUUCAAGGGAACUCUUUUGAAGGUCCAAUACCAUCCAGUUUAGGAAAUCUAACCUCAUUGACUUCUUUGGACCAAAUAGAGAGCACAAGUGAGAGCGAAUGCAGUGCAAGUGAUGAAGUGCUUGUUGUUCCUUAUGAUAACUUAGCACCUAUGUCUUGUGAUAUUACUGAAUCUAAGUAGCUUUUGGAUAAGCUAGUUGCGGUGAAGUAUAAUGGAGCUUUAGGAAAGAAUAUGGGUUUCGGUGGUCCCGAGUAAGCAAUUAUCUAACUUCUGGAAGUUUGAUACUUAUUUUUUUUCCAAGAAAAGAGAAGCAUUUCUUGAUGAUUCCAUAGUUAUAUAUUAAAGACUUGCCUCUACAUAAAUGAAUAUAGUUUCUGUGACAUACAUAUAUUUAUAUAUGCUUUUUAUAUAUGCCUCUACAUUCAUAUAUUUAUAUAUGCUUUUUAUAUUGUAUUAUGACAAAUAAAGAGAAUAAAAGUUUUAAUUAUUGAUAGAUUCUGCUGCUUUUUUAUGUACUUUUUAUUAAAUCACUCUUUAAUCAAAUGUAGAAUUAUAAAAUUAUUAAAUUUUACUAUAAAUAAUUAUCCUUAUAUAAUUAAUCAUUUUAGUAAAUUCUCCAACUAUCAAAAUAGAUCACUCCACCAUCCCACGUCAAAAUUUUGUUAAGGGUAGGACUUGAGAGAGGUAGAUACUUUGAUGAAUAUUUUCUUUUACAUGAUAAUUAUAUACUUCUUUAAGUUUGUUUUGGAUGUUGGGACAAUGUCAGUUGAUGCCGAAAUUUGAUAGUGCUGCAAAUUGAAGUGUUUAAGUGCUGCAAAUUGAAGUAUUUAGUUGCUGGAAAUUGAGAUGUUUUAUCGCUGUAAUUGAGGUGUAUAAAUGUUGUUAAUUGAUAUGUUUAAGUGCUGUAAAUUUAAGUGUUUAAAUGUUGUAAAUUGAAGUGUUUAAGUGCUGCAAAUUGAAGUGUUUAGUUGCUGGAAAUUGAGAUGUUUUAUCGCUGUAAUUGAGGUGUAUAAAUGUUGUUAAUUGAUAUGUUAAGUGCUGCAAAUUUAAGUGUUUAAAUGCUGUAAAUUGAAGUGUUUAAGUGCUGCAAAUUGAAGUAUUUAGUUGCUGGAAAUUGAGAUGUUUUAUCGCUGUAAUUGAGGUGUAUAAAUGUUGUUAAUUGAUAUGUUUAAGUGCUGCAAAUUGAAGUGUUUAGUUGCUGCAAAUUGAGAUGUUUUAUCGCUGUAAAUUGAAGUGUUAAAGUGCUACUUUCCAUUGUCACCUCCCCCAUUUCCUUAUGCAUCAAUAACUAUAUUAAUGAAAUCAAGUACUAC
Gossypium raimondii (Peruvian cotton) is the source of this 2366-nucleotide RNA transcript. RefSeq lists it as uncharacterized. Lineage: Eukaryota; Viridiplantae; Streptophyta; Magnoliopsida; Malvales; Malvaceae. The record is from RefSeq and is a predicted model, not a curated record. The transcript is spliced from 4 exons.